Molecule: long non-coding RNA, 401 nt
Organism: Suricata suricatta (meerkat)
Lineage: Eukaryota; Metazoa; Chordata; Mammalia; Carnivora; Herpestidae
Exons: 2
Source: RefSeq, a predicted model, not a curated record
AGUGGUUCUUGGGAGAAUGGAUUUCAGUGAGGCAUGGAGUGCAGUGGAUGACGGAGCUGAAGAAUAGAGCCCUACAGUUCAGCCUCCAGGAGUUCUCCAUCCCAGCUUCGGGCAGGAUGGCUGCACUCCCAACCAUGUGCUGAAGCUGGCUGCGACAACACCCAGCCCGCUGUGUGUCAAGGUGACCCGGCUCCGUGAAGUGCCGUGCUGAAGGCUAUCUAAGCAUGCUGCCUGCCAUUCAGGCUCCUGGACCUACUUUGCAGAAGCUGAGCAAGAGGGCUGGGCAGAAAUGCUAGGGAACCAUAGGCAGAGCGAUGGCUAGGGGAGAGACACGCCAGCCUCCUUAGAUUUAACACACAGAAAAAUAAAAACGUACACCUCCUUUCUGAUGAGGAGCACAA